Molecule: ribosomal RNA, 253 nt
Filed under: uncultured bacterium
Lineage: Bacteria
Description: partial 16S ribosomal RNA
Rfam family: Bacterial small subunit ribosomal RNA
Source: RNAcentral
UACGGAGGGUGCAAGCAUUAAUCGGAAUUAUUGGGCGUAAAGGGUGCGUAGGUGGCGGGGUAAGUCGGAUGUGAAAUCUCCGAGCUCAACUCGGAAAUGGCAUUGGAAACUACCUUGCUCGAGGGUUGGAGGGGGGACUGGAAUGCUUGGUGUAGCAGUGAAAUGCGUAGAUAUCAAGCGGAACACCAGUGGCGAAGGCGAGUCCCUGGACAACUCCUGACACUGAGGCACGAAAGCUAGGGGAGCAAACAGG